Astatotilapia calliptera (eastern happy) is the source of this 1605-nucleotide long non-coding RNA. NCBI's taxonomy places the organism in Eukaryota, Metazoa, Chordata, Actinopteri, Cichliformes, Cichlidae. The record is from Ensembl.
CUCGGUGUAAGUGUAUUUUAUUUGUUUUCGCUCUCUUACAUGUUGGUCUACUUUAGUAUUCGAUCACAAGACAGCCAACUGAUUUCUGGCUUAAAAAACACCUUUUUUUGCCACGUUUACUCCACAGUUAAGCAUUAAGAAUGACUUUGAAGUCAGUGUAACAUUUCACUGCUGCUCAUUACGUUCAGAAAAACUCAGUUUCUUUUAAUAAAAUCAAUGCAAUACAGCUGCUUAUUUAUGGCUGUGACAGAGUCGAUGUGCAUCAUUGCUUUUUGAGGAGCUGACUGUACCGCCAUCUGCUGGUGUUAAAGUGAAGGUGCAGCCUGAGAUGGGCAGCGGUUGAUUUCUCAGGUUGAAGUGGGUGUUUUUUCUGGGGGGGGCUCACAGUCAUUGUAAGUGCGUUUGUCUAUGUGAGAGCGCAGCAAUGCCCAGGCUCAUGUUGAGCCUUACAGCCAUUCCAGCAACACACACAUUUUUCAAAAACUGUAUUUGAUACCAGUAUACUGUCUGUGAACAAUGAUGGUCCAACAACGUACCUGACAAUUACUGCUCAGCAGCAGCAAUAAAGCGCUUUGGGUUUUUUUUUGUUUUGUGUUAUUUGCAUACUGUAUUUAUGUAUAUGCCCCACGGAGACUUGAGAUCUGGAGUUUAAUAUAAUUUUAAUACAUAAAUGAGCCGAGGGACUUGUUGUGUGUCAAGUUGGAUUAAGACCUAGUAAUGAGAACCAUCUCAGAUUCUUCAGUACCCGGGAGGCUCAGUGCAAUUAGACAGAUUUUAUUUUUUAAAAAGUGCAAUUACCCUUUUGUUGAUGUUCUGUUCUGCAAUUAUGUACCGGUGUUUAAAGUCCAGGAUGUCCUCUGGAUAGAAAAUUACUUUCUUUAUAUUGUGUUGUAUUUAUUUUUAACUGAAAACAGCAUAUUUUUGUUCAUUUACACACAAAAAAGACCCUUUCAUUAGUGAAUUUUAUGCAACUUACACUUAAUUUUUCUUCCCAGACACUAAUAGAAGAAAAUUAUUUUCAGCCCUUGUUUUGCAUGUAGUCAUUCAGAUAAUAGAGUUGCUCAAAGCUUCAGUCCUUUUUUAGUUUUUAAAUUGAUUGUGGUGUCUUUUUACUUUCUACCCAUAGGAGCUGGCUCCUUCAAUGAAAUAUGAGAGGAGUUUUGUUCUAGUGUGAUGGCUUUGGAUUGUUUCCUCUCUGAACAUCUUAUCCUCUUUACCGUCUUUGCGUCACUCACCCUUUACGUCCAUAAUCCCACGGAGCAGAACAUCAACUGAGACUCUUCUCAGCCUCACUAUUUUAGGCUGUCUGUUGAUUACCUGGUGACUAAAAUUUGAUCAUGUCUGGGACUAGUGUAACUUGCAUAAAAGCUACAUUUGUUUACUACUGACUGGACUUGAACAUAUAUGACUGUUCCCCUGUCUUAUACCAUUCCGCAAGUCUGUCUGUGAAUUUGCUUUGAAAUAGUAACUGUAAAGAAUUUGGUAAAAUGUACUUUUUUGUUUUUAUGAAAAAUGUUGAUGUGCUUUCAGUUAAUUUCCCACGUUUGAACAAAAUAUGUAGUAAUUAAAAGAACAACCAAAUAAAAAAUUAAGUGACUUUUAAAA